Molecule: ribosomal RNA, 442 nt
Filed under: uncultured bacterium
Lineage: Bacteria
Description: partial 16S ribosomal RNA
Rfam family: Bacterial small subunit ribosomal RNA
Source: RNAcentral
ACUACGGGAGGCAGCAGUGGGGAAUAUUGGGCAAUGGGCGCAAGCCUGACCCAGCAACGCCGCGUGAAGGAAGAAGGCUUUCCGGUUGUAAACUUCUUUUUACAGGGAAGAGUAGAAGACGGUACCUGUCUAAUAAUCCACGGCUAACUACGUUACAGCAGCUGCGGUAAUACGUAGGUGGCAAGCGUUGUCCGGAUUUACUGGGUGUAACGGGCGUGUAGCCGGGUUGACAAGUCAGAUGGGAAAUCCUGCGGCGUAACCGCAGAAUUGCAUUUGAAACUGUUGAUCUUGAGUACUGGAGAGGCAGGCGGAAUUCCUAGUGUAGCGGUGAAAUGCGUAGAUAUUAGGAGGAACACCAGUGGCGAAGGCGGUCUGCUGGACAGCAACUGACGGUGAGGCGCGAAAGCGUGGGGAGCAAACAGGAUUAGAUACCCUUGUAGUC